RNAcentral lists this ribosomal RNA (774 nucleotides) under uncultured Neocallimastigales. RNAcentral's name for it is "partial large subunit ribosomal RNA". It matches the Rfam family "Eukaryotic large subunit ribosomal RNA", at positions 24 to 647 of the family's 3401-position model. The record is from RNAcentral. Lineage: Eukaryota; Fungi; Neocallimastigomycota; Neocallimastigomycetes; Neocallimastigales.
GUAGUCUCGCACAGAUGCAUAUCAAUAAGCGGAGGAAAAGAAACUAACAAGGAUUCCCCUAGUACGGCGAGUGAAGCGGGAAGAGCUCAAAUUUGAAAUCUUAAAGGGUUUCCCUUUACGAAUUGUAGUUUAAAGAAGUGUUUUCUGUUCGAGGUUUUGGUAAAAGUUCUUUGGAAUAGGACAUCAUAGAGGGUGAGAAUCCCGUAUUUGACCUUUACUUUCAACUUUGUGAUACACUUUCAAAGAGUCGGAUUGUUAGGGAAUGCAGUCCAAAAUGGGUGGUAAAUUUCAUCUAAAGCUAAAUAUUGGCGAGAGACCGAUAGCGAACAAGUACCGUGAGGGAAAGAUGAAAAGAACUUUGAAAAGAGAGUUAAACAGUACGUGAAAUUGUCAAAAGGGAAGCGUUUGACACCAGUGUUGUUUUUCUGAAAAUCAAUUAAAGAACUGUUUAUGCUAAGCUGUUUAGACUUUAUCAGCUAUCUGUUUAGUUUUGAGCUUUUCUUUAAUGCACUUUUCAGUUAACAAGUCAACAUCAAUUUCUUUUGCUGUAAAAAAGCUUGAGGAAGGUGGCUUGAGAUUCGUCUUAAGUGUUUAUAGCCUCUUGCCUAUGCAGUCGGAGAGAUUGAGGUCUGCAGCGUAGAUCCUUCGGGGCUAAAUGCAUUUGUGCUAAGUUAUAGCAUUUUAUAGACAACUUGUUGACUAUGAUUUGUCUUGUAGCUUACUCGCUUAUGUUAUUUUACCUACGCUUAGGAUGUUGAUCUGUAGUGCGUGCGC